UCAAACUUGGUCAUUUAGAGGAAGUAAAAGUCGUAACAAGGUUUCCGUAGGUGAACCUGCGGAAGGAUCACUAAAGUAAACGCCCUCCGGGGCUCUCUUUAUUCACACACCCCUGUGCACUUUGGCCACCUGCCGCGCUUCACUGCGUUAGUAGGUGUGUCUUUAUAAUUAUACCCAUAUACACAAGUCAUUGAAUGUAAAAUCGUUAUAAACUAAUAUAACUUUCAACAACGGAUCUCUUGGUUCUCGCAUCGAUGAAGAACGCAGC
Molecule: unclassified non-coding RNA, 268 nt
Filed under: uncultured fungus
Lineage: Eukaryota; Fungi
Description: partial contains small subunit ribosomal RNA, internal transcribed spacer 1, and 5.8S ribosomal RNA
Rfam family: Eukaryotic small subunit ribosomal RNA (bases 1-73)
Source: RNAcentral